Molecule: ribosomal RNA, 696 nt
Filed under: Triticum aestivum (bread wheat)
Lineage: Eukaryota; Viridiplantae; Streptophyta; Magnoliopsida; Poales; Poaceae
Description: partial small subunit ribosomal RNA
Source: RNAcentral
AUGAGGAACUUGAAAGAUGAAAGAACCAAGAUUUUUCCCUCAACUAUGAGGGGAGGUAGGGAACUGCCAUCUAGCUUUGCACUUGAUUCACCUUCUGUUAUGACUAAAUUUGUGACACCUACACCUGCUCCUGCUAUUGAUUCUGAUAUGUCGCACGUUAUUGAUGAUGCCACUUCUGCUAUCCAUGAUGCUUAUGAUGAAACUACUUCUCUACUUGAUAAUACUGUGCCAUUAGGUGAAUUUCUUGAUGAACAACUUGCUAGGGUUAGAGAGAAUGAAAUUAUUGAAACUGAUAAUAUUGUUGAAAGUGAUGACGAAGAUUCUCCCCCUAGAUAUGAAUUUCCUGAUGUACCUGGGGGUUAUGUUAUGGAUGAAGAAACUGCUAGAGACUUUCUUGCUUGGAAUGAUAGAUAUGAUCUUAAGAAACUGUUAGCCAAGCUGAAAGAAAAGUCUUUGAAUGCUAGAACAAAAUAUGACCUUGCUUUUGCUACUUCACCUAUCUACGUUACUGAUAAGGAUUAUGAAUUCUCUAUCGAUCCUGAGUUAAUUACUUUGGUUGAAUCUGAUCCUUUUUAUGGCUAUGAAUCUGAAACUGUUGUGGCACAUCUUACUAAAUUGAAUGAUAUAGCCACCCUAUUUACUCAUGAGGCAAAAAUCGCUAUUACUAUAUCUUUAGAUUGUUUCCUUUCUCAUUAA